UACGGGGGGGGCAAGCGUUGUUCGGAAUUACUGGGCGUAAAGGGUUUGUAGGUGGCUCGCUAAGUCACACGUGAAAUCCCUCAGCUUAACUGGGGAACUGCGUGUGAGACUGGCAAGCUCGAGUGCAGGAGAGGAAUGCGGAAUUCCAGGUGUAGCGGUGAAAUGCGUAGAUAUCUGGAGGAACACCGGUGGCGAAGGCGGCAUUCUGGGCCUGUGCUGACGCUGAGGAGCGAAAGCGUGGGGAGCGAACAGG
This 253-nucleotide ribosomal RNA is filed under the name uncultured bacterium. Its description in RNAcentral is "partial 16S ribosomal RNA". It matches the Rfam family "Bacterial small subunit ribosomal RNA", at positions 524 to 776 of the family's 1533-position model. The record is from RNAcentral.